ACCAAACCUAGCCCAACAUUUAUCAAACCUAAACAUUUUAAACAAUAAAACAAAACAUUUAAACUAAAGAGUAUAGGAGAUAGAAAUUUAUAUAAGAGCUAUAGAGAUAGUACCGUAAGGGAAAGAUGAAAGAGUAAACAAAAUAACAAUAGUACAGAACAGCAUAGAUUACACCUAGUACCUUUUGCAUAAUGAAUUAGCCAGAAACUCUUGACAAAAAGAACUUUAAGCCAAAUCCCCCGAAACCAAACGAGCUACUUUUAAACAGCUAAAAUGAGCAAACUCAUCUAUGUGGCAAAAUAGUGAGAAGAUUUAAAAGUAGAGGUGAAAAGCCUAACGAGCUUGGAGAUAGCUGGUUAUCCAAACAAGAAUUUAAGUUCAACAAUAAGUAUUUCCUAAAAAAUCUAAAAAUUAUAAUGAAAACUUAUAUGUUAAUUUAAUGAGGGACAGCUCCUUAAAUAAGGAUACAACCUUAAACAGAGGGUAAAUAAUACAAUAACCAUAGUAGGCCUAAAAGCAGCCAUCAACUAAGAAAGCGUUCAAGCUCAACAAUAAUUUUCAAUAUUAUCCCUAGAUACAUUAACCAACCCCUGUUCAAAAAAUUGGAUUAAUCUAUAAAAAUAUAGAAGAAACAAUGCUAAUAUGAGUAACAAGAAAUAAUUCUCCUUGCACAAGCUUAAACUAAAAACCAAUAAGUUAACAAUCUUAUAAAAAUAAACCUAACUAGUUUACUAUUAUAAAUAUUGUUGAUCCAACACCGGAGUGCAAUAAGGAAAGACUAAAAUAGGUAAAAGGAACUCGGCAAACACAAACUCCGCCUGUUUACCAAAAACAUCACCUCUAGCAUGACAAGUAUUAGAGGCACUGCCUGCCCAGUGACAAUCAAAGUUCAACGGCCGCGGUAUCCUGACCGUGCAAAGGUAGCAUAAUCACUUGUUCUUUAAAUAAGGACUGGUAUGAACGGCUUAACGAGAGUUUAACUGUCUCUUACCUAUAGUCCGUGAAAUUGACAUCCCCGUGAAGAGGCGGGAAUAAUAUAAUAAGACGAGAAGACCCUAUGGAGCUUUAAUUUAUUAAUUCAUUUUUACAAUACCAAAUCAAUAAGAAAUAAAAAACAAAUUAUGAAUUAAUAAUUUUGGUUGGGGUGACCUCGGAGUAAAAAUUAACCUCCGAAUGAUAUUAACCUAGACUCACAAGUCAAAGUUACCAUCAUAAAUUGACCCAGAAAUAAUCUGAUCAACGAACCAAGUUACCCUAGGGAUAACAGCGCAAUCCUAUUUUAGAGUCCAUAUCGACAAUAGGGUUUACGACCUCGAUGUUGGAUCAGGACCCCCAAAUGGUGCAACCGCUAUUAAAGGUUCGUUUGUUCAACGAUUAAAGUCCUACGUGAUCUGAGUUCAGACCGGAGUAAUCCAGGUCGGUUUCUAUCUAUUUUAAAUUUCUCCCAGUACGAAAGGACAAGAGAAAUUAGGCCAAUGAGAUAAUCAUGCCUUAAUAGCAAAAGAAUGAUAUUAUAUCAAUUCUAUAGCUAUUAAUAACCAAAACCCUAGAUAAGGGUUU
RNAcentral lists this ribosomal RNA (1560 nucleotides) under Isothrix sinnamariensis. Its description in RNAcentral is "16S ribosomal RNA". It matches the Rfam family "Bacterial large subunit ribosomal RNA". Lineage: Eukaryota; Metazoa; Chordata; Mammalia; Rodentia; Echimyidae. The record is from RNAcentral.